GAAUAACAGCCAUAAACACAAUAACCUCAACAAUAACAACAACUAUUUUUACGGACUAAAUAUUUAAGAGCGUUGACCACUAAACUUGUCUCGACGUCACUGCGCUGGUAAACCUACAGGUGAAUUGUCCGGCUUAGUACUGACCAGAUGCGGCGGUGAAUCUUGCUAGAAGAAAAUGCUCAAACCUAGCAGACUACGUCGGAGAAGUUAACUUAAUUCAAUAACCUGCAUUGAAGUAAGUCCUCUCACGUCCAGUGCGAUGAACCGACUUGUGGAAGCCAUCCCUCGCUGUGUGUAAUAUUAUGCAUAGCUAUUAACCAGUAGCUGAAGUGAAAUCUAAAUUCAAUACAU
Varroa destructor (honeybee mite) is the source of this 351-nucleotide long non-coding RNA. RefSeq lists it as uncharacterized. The record is from RefSeq and is a predicted model, not a curated record. Lineage: Eukaryota; Metazoa; Arthropoda; Arachnida; Mesostigmata; Varroidae.